AUGAUGGGUGGGCCCUGUUGGGCGUGGGGGUGGGUGGGCCCUGUUGGGCGUGGGGGGCAGAUAUUGAGGUGGAGUUGGCUAACGUUUUGGUGCAAAUGGAUUUCGUCCACGGAUGAACACUUAGGUUUCGCACCAGCGCAAGCGACCUCCUCCUCCUCCCUUUCCCAUUCGUCCUCCCUCCUAGCCGCCGCCGCCUCCCCUCCUUCCUCCUCCUCCUCUCUCGCCAGUGCCGCCUGGCCGUUGCUGCCUCCUCCUUGGUGCUCAAGGGGACGAGCACGAGAGGUCGCCACACUGCACUACCUCGUCCAGGGUGGGUGCUGAGGACCUACAGAUCUCUCUCUCCCUGCUACCUCUUUCCCCGACCCCUCUGCCUCCCCCACCAUGAGAGAUAGAGAGAGGGAUGGACAAAUAGGAGACGGGGCAAGAGGAGAAGAGGAAGGUGACGGGGCAGGAGGAGAAGUGGAAGGAGAGGCCGUCUGUGCGCACGUGGCCAUUGGCUGGCCGGGCUCAGCUCUUGCAGAACUGCGGAUUCUUUUGUGUAUAUGCCUACAAGGUGUUUGGUGAAAAUCCAAGCAACCCCUUGAUUUCGUUUCUUGCAGAUAUUUCUAUGGGUUUCUCCAUUAGUAUGUUUUUCCUCAACUACCAUAUCAAUCUGGCAGCCGUUGGCACAUGUGACCUUGGUUGAGGAAUUUGUUCCACAUCUCCUUGUACCAAGAGCAGAUCUGCGCCCCACCUCUCCAGUGUUGGCUCAUUGGCCACCGCGGAUCCUAGCUGUCCUUGGGACGCCAUCAACAGGUGUUGUAUAAUGCUGUUACUUGCUGGUGAUGUUGUUUCUGUGCUGCCUAUGGAGUGACAAUAACGACAUUCAAUUAUGAUGCGUUUGACCGUAACACAAAGAUUAAGGAAAUUAAUUACCAUUUGUCGAUUGACGACUUGAAAAGAAGCAUGGAGGCAACAAAUGGGGUAUUAUUUUGAUCUCAUCUCACACAUUCAAUUACUCUUUGUCCUACUAUAUGGCUUUUUAUUAGUUAUUUACACAUACUCGAUGCAUUGCAAAAUGUCUGUUUCUGGAAAUCGCCAUAUCCCGUAUCCCCGCAACCGUAUUGUCGUAUUUGUCGCUCUAUCAGUGCUUCAUUGGUCUAGGUAAAAAUGUGUAGAUUUCCUUUAUUUUGCGCAUAUUCUCUUCAAUCAGUGUUGUUACUUUUUGUGCUUGGUGUUUUAUUCCAGCCAGAUGCAAGCGGCAAAAGGCGACUGGGAUUAACCAUCGAUGCUGGUUUUCAUAUCCAAAUACCGGUCUUUGUUGGUAUGUACAUGAGAUGGGGGAAAUCAUGCCUUAAGAGAGCCAGAUGCGGAAGGUACUGUUUAAGAAAUCCGGAUGCUUGCUUGUAAUAUGUUUACAUUGUUUACUCAUGUACAUAUUCCUUUUGUAGAUGUUCCUUUAGGAUUUCUAAAAUUGUUUGUUUACUCAUGUACAUUGUUUGCAUCUGUGAAUAUAUUUUUAUAUUUAGGGAUUUUCCAUUGCCUCUAGAAAGUUGUUUGUUUCAUCC
This 1547-nucleotide ribosomal RNA is filed under the name Triticum aestivum (bread wheat). RNAcentral's name for it is "partial small subunit ribosomal RNA". The record is from RNAcentral. Lineage: Eukaryota; Viridiplantae; Streptophyta; Magnoliopsida; Poales; Poaceae.